Molecule: transfer-messenger RNA, 353 nt
Filed under: Clostridia
Lineage: Bacteria; Bacillati; Bacillota
Also listed under: 1 other name
Description: Scatovivens sp900768805 Standard tmRNA
Rfam family: transfer-messenger RNA
About the family: Bacterial tmRNA, also known as 10Sa RNA or SsrA, is named for its dual tRNA and mRNA-like properties.
Source: RNAcentral
GGGGGUGUAUUUGGUUUCGACAGCAAGUUAGAAGGUUAGAUAGCGAGUAGUGGAGAUGCCAGGCCACUAUAAAAGGCAUAAAAUAAAUAUAAACGCUGAUAAUAAAGAAUUAGCAUUUGCUGCCUAAUUGCGGCAACGUUCUACCUUUGAAACCUACGUCUUAGGAUAGAGCGUCGAUUAGUAGGAAACGAAGCUAAUAGAUGCUUUUGCUAUUAGUGGGAUAUUAAAAAAGCUACUUAAAAUAAAGUUUGUUUGUUGACGAUAUUUUAAGGAAUACCAAUAGCAAACUGCACUCGGAGAAGUCUAGCUGGAAGAUUUGUUGGACAGGAGUUCAACUCUCCUCACCUCCACCA